Molecule: long non-coding RNA, 635 nt
Filed under: Olea europaea (common olive)
Lineage: Eukaryota; Viridiplantae; Streptophyta; Magnoliopsida; Lamiales; Oleaceae
Description: long non-coding RNA (OEUR_LNC012695)
Source: RNAcentral
UACAGUGUGCACGCAUAACCAAGUGAAAGGCUGAUUGAUUAAAGCCAGUAUUCUUUAAUUCAAGCCUCCAUUUUCAGCUGUUUCAACCAUUUCUAAAUGUUAAAUUAGUACCAGUCAACAAACAUGGACGCUCCACCUCCCGGUAUUCUUUUCUUUUGCUGGUUUUUUUUUUAUGCUUUAGAAAUUGAAAUCCUUUUGUUAUAUUUGUUUUUUUGAAAAAAAAAAAAAAUCAAAUUCGAGCUAGCAUUAUUAGUUUGCCCUUAAUCAAAACCAAGGUUUUCAUUUAUUUAUUUAUUUAAAUCUAUCUCUUGAAGUCCUCCUUUUCACCUCGUUAAGAAACAUUUUUGAAUGCUAAACUAGCUUAAAUUUCUUUUUGUGUUACUGGAUUCUUUUUGUUGCUUUAUAGUUUAAUUUUCGAUUUUUACUGGGUUCAUUUUGUUGCUUUAGAAAUUAAAUUUUCUUUUUUUUACUGAUUCUUUUCGCUGAUUUAGAUUUUUUUAUUUUUUUAUUUUUGCCCAUGUUCAUAUUUGUUUCGUUUAUUUUGAAGAAAACCCCAUGUUUGAGCUAGCAAUUAUCUUUCUUCCCUUGAUCAAAAUCAUUUUUUUUAAUACUUAAUUUAUGCAUAAAGUUCUGUU